UACAUAGAGCUUGAGUAGUAGUACGAGAAUAGGAAGUAGUUAAGUCAGUUUAUAGUUUGAGAGUUAGCGGUUUAGUCCCUAGAGUAUUUUCAUUUUGGCCCAGUUAGUAUUAUAUUUCUUUAACUUUAGUCUCCAUCUCAGUAACGUUAUAUGUAUUGCACUUUACCCAUUUGAGGAUUAUGAAUGAGAAUACUAGUUCCUUUCUCUUCUCUCUUAGAUUGCUAGCUUAGAUCUCAUUAUUUUCUUUGCAAGUUCACAGAUUAUAUCACUAUCAUGCAUUCAAGUAACUAAUCUAAGUUGAAGUAACUAAAAGAUGAUAGGAACGAAGGUAACAACAUUCUAAUCCAUUUACUUAGGUUGCAUCAAUACGUUAUCAAAUUGAACUCUUCUAGUAAAAGUAACUACUGAAAAUAGGGCCUAUGGCAACACUAUUUUCAGCAACGGUUGUGAAACCGUUACUAUAGACUGUAUAUCGCAACGAUUGUAACCGUUGCAUAAGGUUUUGCUAUCACCACACUUUAGCACUGAAGUCGUUGCAUUAGUGUCGAAACCGUUGCAGUAUAGUGACUUUUUGCAACGGCUUUUGUAAUUGUUGCAAUAAAUAAGGCCCUCCUACAAUUGUGACACUACUUUCCUCGACUAACCUCACAUUUGAGAACCGUCUACCACCAUCAAAACCAAAAGCGAUGGCCGCCCAACUUCAAUAAUUUCACCACACUUACUGUUAGACUCAUGCAAUCUAUCCUAAAGCCAUCAAUUCAUCCCGCAAAAUCGUCGUCGGUAGAUCUAUUUGAGGCUUCUUCGCUAGAAAUCGGUGGCUGAGGGAGAACAAGAGGAAGUUAUAAAUAUUUAGGGUUUCUUCCUUAAUCAUCUUUUUAACUUAUUAAUUUCUUGUUGAGUCCAUUAUUUUCUUUCAAUUGAAGCUUUGAAUCUAAAUUGGGGAUCUCUUAAGGUUUCUUAUAUUGUAAUUCCUUCCCUUUGCUCUUGAUUUUUUAAAGAAAAUAGAAUAUUUCUAUCUAAUUUUCGUUUAUAUCCUUAUAGUUGUUUGUAAGAAGGAUGCACUGAUUAUGUUUUCUGUGUUGUUCAUAGUUAUAAUUUUGGCCCAAUUACAAGUCCCAGCUCAGGUUUUGCUUUGCCUCUCGCCUUUGGUGGUUUACUAGGGCUGCUAUAUCUAUGCUUGAGCAGGUACAAUUUGGUCUGCACUCUAAAAAUAGUUUGAAUUUUUAUACUAUGAAAACAACUACUUAUCUUUUGGUAGUGGCCGUCUUUUGCUUUAUAAUAUUCAUGUGAGGACUUUGUGUCUCUAUAAAUUUGUUGCUUUGAUCUAACAGUUGUUGAAAUAUUUUUUUUCUUUAGUUCCUCUGUUUUGCUUAGGCAUUAAAGUUUUUUCUUUUUAAAUAUCAUGUAUUAGCUUGUGUGUGUGUGUGUACACACACACACUUGAAGAUUGUAUACCUUGUAAUGCUUAGUGAAUAAUAAUCAAACUGUAAUCAUAUUUUUGGCUAUUUCCUUCAAUAUAUUUCUAGUAUUGAUUACAUGGUGUCAGUCUGUUGUGACUAGAAAAGUUCAAGAAACUAAACUUUAAAAUUAAAAAACAUAUCUAAUGCUUUUGUUCGUUGUAAUACUUUGGUAUUGUUCAAUAUUCAAUAUUUCUUUAUUUUCAUUUGUUUGUACCUUUAUGUUGUCUAUGCUCCAAGGUUUAGACCUAUCGUGACAUCUGUUUUAAUGACAUGUUACUUGAUAAAGAGCUAAUACCAAUGCUAGUAUCUUGUAGCAAUCUGAAUGGAUGAAAGUAAGUUAUUGCAACAGGUUGACCAGUUUAGCUGUUUCAUCGGCCAAGUGUUAGACAUAGUUGAUGUAAUACACUUUUGUGGGAUUGAGGCACAAACUAUUUGUAUUAUGAAGAACUAUAUAUUAUUUCUGGAGAUUGUUUUCUCAAUGUAGUCGGAGAUUGCUGUUUUAUCCUGUAGAAGAAUAGAAAAUAUUUAACUACUGGAGGUCCCUCUUCAUCUAUUUUUAUUGUGAAGAACAAAAUAUAUUUUCUGAAAGCGAAAACGACAAUUUGAUCUUGUUUGUCAAUUUCUUAAUUUAUGUUUAGUUGUUAUGGUUUAAUAGAAUUUGAAGAUUGCGUACCUUGAAAUGAUUUCGAUCUUAAACCGUUUUCUUGGAAUUUGUGGAGUGAACAUCUUAAAACUGUAGUUUCGAUCUUAAUAGCAACCUCUUAAAUUUAUGAGUGCAUUUGUGGAUGCAGGGAAGUGAAUUAGUUGUCGAAAAGGUUCCCUUUCUCCAAAUUUUUUCUUAACUAAGUUAGAUAUAAGGUUGAAUAGCUUUCACCGUGAUGUAAUUUACUUAUAAUAUUUUCAUUUGCAUGUAACUCCGUUGGCUGCCUGUAGCAAUUGCUAAUUCAAUCGUUAUAUUUUCAUUUUGUUAGGUUUGCAAUUGGCUUUAUCUCCUACUAUGGCCUUCUUGAAGGUAUACCCAUUUUCUUAAUCUUCUUGCCGUUUUAUUCCUUUACAUUUCUUUUUCCACUUAUGCGAGUUUGAAAUAAAGACUUAGGUGGUGAUCAUUGUUGAAGGUGAUUGUUAAGCCUUCAAACAUCUAUGAAAGUGGUAAAAUUAGCUAAAUUAUUAUCUUGCUUUGACAUCUUGAUGUGUUUGGUCAUAUUGUUACGUUCCUUGUACUACCACAAGUUUUCUUCCAAUCUAAGAUAAUACAAAGUUCAUCUCUAUUUGGACUUUGCCUAAAUUCCUUGAAACUCUUCUUUAUCAUAGUUGGUACUUGUGAUGAGGGCGUACAAUGCAGUUAACACGCUCUUGAAUUAUUCUCUGACAGUUCUUUUUGCAGUCUUUUUCUUGAUGUCACAACUAUAGUUUUUAGUUUCUAAUUUUAUCUUUACCUUUCUUUUGACUGGGCAUUCAACUAUGUCAAAAUUUCAGUUUGGAUUGUUAGUAGUAUGUACUUCAACAUUUAGACGAUUAUGCUUCCAAGUGAAUAAUAAAUUAUAUUGAAAAAUUGAGCUUCUUGUUAGUACUUUUUCAGGUGAAAAACUUUGAACUUAACUCCAUUUAUCAAUAUAGCAGUUUAAAUAUUUCUGGAGUGGACUGGUCAAUUGGAUGAUGGACCAUAGGUUAGAAAAAGCUGUCAAAUUAUGUGGCCUUCUAUGCGUGUAGAAAUUCACCAUUAUCUUGUUAUAGCAAAUCAUUCUAUGGUAUAUGACUUAUGCUUCGGUAGUUUUAUACCUCUGUCCAUCAUUGCAAGUAACAAUUAGAGAAGAAAACUUAAGCACAAUUUGCAUAAUGAAUUCUUUUGUUGCAUAAAAUAAUUAAUGCUUGGUUGAGUACUUGAACUAUUCCCUAUUCCACAAUAGCAAUGCUUAUCUAGGACCUCACUAUUUUAUAUCUUAGCUUUCGGCUUAAUUUAUUGUUUGACUUUUUUUAAUUAAUUAUAUGUAAUUCCUAAUCUGACAAAUAUUGAUUUUUUUUUAUUUAUGGUUUUAUAGGUGAAGCAUAUGAACAAGGGUAGAUGAAAGGUGUGAAGAUCUUACUCAAGAGUAUUAGUUGAUUGUUGUUAAACUUUUAGAUGUUCUAGAAUCUUUUAUUUUAGAAACUUUUGCCAACUUAUGUAUUAACUCUUGAAUUGCCAAACGACAUUGUAUAUUUAGCUUUUAUAUAUGGAUAAUACUAGUUGGAUAUUUUAGAUAUAAUUUUAUAUAUUGAUGAGGAGUUUCCUUUUGA
Molecule: long non-coding RNA, 3734 nt
Filed under: Nicotiana tabacum (common tobacco)
Lineage: Eukaryota; Viridiplantae; Streptophyta; Magnoliopsida; Solanales; Solanaceae
Description: long non-coding RNA (NTAB_LNC004481)
Source: RNAcentral